AUACGGAGGGUGCGAGCGUUAAUCGGAAUUACUGGGCGUAAAGCGUGCGUAGGCGGUUUGCUAAGUCAGAUGUGAAAGCCCCGGGCUUAACCUGGGAACUGCAUUUGAUACUGGCAGACUAGAGUAUGAUAGAGGGGGGUAGAAUUCCUGGUGUAGCGGUGAAAUGCGUAGAUAUCUGGAGGAAUACCAGUGGCGAAGGCGGCCCCCUGGAUCAAUACUGACGCUGAGGUACGAAAGCGUGGGGAGCGAACAGGAUUAGAUACCCGAGUAGUCC
This 274-nucleotide ribosomal RNA is filed under the name uncultured bacterium. RNAcentral describes it as "partial 16S ribosomal RNA". It matches the Rfam family "Bacterial small subunit ribosomal RNA", at positions 523 to 796 of the family's 1533-position model. The record is from RNAcentral.